Molecule: non-coding RNA, 649 nt
Organism: Lactuca sativa (garden lettuce)
Lineage: Eukaryota; Viridiplantae; Streptophyta; Magnoliopsida; Asterales; Asteraceae
Source: RefSeq, a predicted model, not a curated record
GUUUAGAGCUUCAAAUUGUAAGUGGCCCCAUUUAUUUCAUGUGCAGCUUUUCUAUCCAACCACUCACGUUCCAUCUCCCCAUUCUUUAAAAAAAAAGCCUGCGUUUCUAAAGACUACAAUCACGCCUGCGAGGCUGUGACGACGUCAACAUUCAACGAUUAAACUUCCGUUGUUUUCUCCAUUCUCGGAUUUGAUUCAUACCUUCUUCUCCAAUCGAUUCUUCCACUGUUCCAUUGUUGUCGACUAAAUCGCUAAUGUUUUACUUCUCGCUGGUGUUCUUGCCUCUUGGUUUCUCCACAGUCAAUCAAUUCUUCAUUGAAUUUGAAACGCAAGGGAAGAGAAGAUCUAGCCAAGAGGAAGAAAGAGAGGGGUGGAUUCUUGAAGAGCUAAGGUCCAGGACAUCACAUCUGAGGAGGACGAUAGCUCGGGAGAUCGAGCACUAGUAGUUAUGAGAUUUACGAGUUACCGAGAUACGCCAGGUACCAGCGAGGACCGUGGGAAGGCAUCGGCUUGACUUGUACACACCCACACCAAUGGAGUUCAAGUCAUAGAGAUCUUGAGAUUUGUUUUGAAAACACUGCUGUUAUGAUUUUGAGAUUUUGAUAUGAUAUACAUUUUGUGGUUUAAAAAUGAAAAAUUAAAUUGAUAA